UUUUUCAGUACUCUCUACUUAGUGUGGGGCUGAGGCUCAGAAUCCAAGAUCAAGAGUGACAUGCUCUACCAAAUGAGCCAGCGAGGCAGACCUACUAAAGGAAGUUUUUGUUUUGUUCUGGGCCUUAAUUCGUCCCAUUACAAUGUUCCAUGUCUAUUUUGGUGUCAGAGAGGGGCUCCCCGCAGUUGUAUCUCCUCCUUUGGACUCCUGUGUGAGAAUGUGAAGCAACUACUGGAAAGUUUCCAUGGAAGACCAUUUGAUUCUUUCUUAAGGAUAUCAAGGAGGAGACAUCUACAGUCGCUGAGU
This 306-nucleotide long non-coding RNA is filed under the name Mustela putorius furo (domestic ferret). Its description in RNAcentral is "lncRNA (ENSMPUG00000026416.1)". Lineage: Eukaryota; Metazoa; Chordata; Mammalia; Carnivora; Mustelidae. The record is from RNAcentral.